AGAUGUGGGUAGUCCGCACGAGCGCACCCUACCUUAGUUGCCAUCGGGUUAUGCCGGGCACUUUAGAGGGGACUGCCGGUGACAAGCCGGAGGAGGGUGGGGAUGACGUCAAGUCCUCAUGGCCUUUAUGACCAGGGUCUACACACGUGUUACAAUGGGAGUUACAGAGGGAAGCUAAACCGCGAGGUCAUGCCAAUCCCAGAAAAACUUUCUCAGUUCGGAUCGCAGUCUGCAACUCGACUGCGUGAAGCUGGAAUCGCUAGUAAUCGCGGAUCAGCACGCCGCGGUGAAUACGUUCCCGGGCCUUGUACACACCGCCCGUCACACCAUGGGAGCCGACAAGGGCAGAAGUCGCCGAGCUAACCUUCGGGAAGCAGGCGCCCAAGCUGUUGUUGACGACUGGGGUGAAGUCGUAACAAGGUAGCCGUAGGAGAACCUGCGGCUGGAUCACCUCCUUUCU
RNAcentral lists this ribosomal RNA (460 nucleotides) under uncultured marine bacterium 106. RNAcentral's name for it is "bacterial SSU rRNA". It matches the Rfam family "Bacterial small subunit ribosomal RNA", at positions 1070 to 1533 of the family's 1533-position model. The record is from RNAcentral.